ACAGCAGUCGCCACGGUAAUACGUAGGGUGCAAGCGUUAAUCGGAAUUACUGGGCGUAAAGCGUGCGCAGGCGGUUUGUUAAGACAGAUGUGAAAUCCCCAGGCUCAACCUGGGAACUGCAUUUGUGACUGGCAAGCUAGAGUGUGGCAGAGGGGGGUGGAAUUCCGCGUGUAGCAGUGAAAUGCGUAGAUAUGCGGAGGAACACCGAUGGCGAAGGCAGCCCCCUGGGCCAACACUGACGCUCAUGCACGAAAGCGUGGGGAGCAGACAGGAUUAGAUACCCCUGUAGUCCCUGUCUCUUAUAA
RNAcentral lists this ribosomal RNA (305 nucleotides) under uncultured bacterium. RNAcentral describes it as "partial 16S ribosomal RNA". It matches the Rfam family "Bacterial small subunit ribosomal RNA", at positions 505 to 809 of the family's 1533-position model. The record is from RNAcentral.